This 255-nucleotide ribosomal RNA is filed under the name uncultured bacterium. RNAcentral describes it as "partial 16S ribosomal RNA". It matches the Rfam family "Bacterial small subunit ribosomal RNA", at positions 524 to 776 of the family's 1533-position model. The record is from RNAcentral.
UACGAAGGGGGCUAGCGUUGUUCGGAAUUACUGGGCGUAAAGCGUGCGCAGGCGGCUUCUCAAGUCAGGGGUGAAAGCCCAGAGCUCAACUCUGGAAUUGCCUUUGAGACUGAGUGGCUUGAGUACGAGAGAGGUGAGUGGAAUUCCCAGUGUAGAGGUGAAAUUCGUAGAUAUUGGGAAGAACACCGGUGGCGAAGGCGGCUACACUGGCUCGGUAACUGACGCUCAUGCACGACAGCGUGGGGAUCAAACAGG